CAAGUUAUCUUUAGGUGAAUAUUUCUUUUACAUGGAAUUUGUUAUUGUGCAAUUCAAUAUGACUUGA
This 67-nucleotide transfer RNA is filed under the name Sorineuchora nigra. RNAcentral describes it as "tRNA-Val". The record is from RNAcentral. Lineage: Eukaryota; Metazoa; Arthropoda; Insecta; Blattodea; Pseudophyllodromiidae.